GAUAUAGCUCAAGAGACAACCACUAGCAAAUCAGAUUACUUACUACCUUUAGAUUGCAUGUGCUAACUUUAAAAUCCAAUAACUCCUUCAUUUAAACUUGGAAUCCAAUAAGCAGUAUAUAAAAAGUAUAGCUACAAAAGUGCUCUCUCUAAUUGCAGUUGCCGAUCAUCAAUUGCUAUCUGUAUGCGUGCGUUAUGCCAAAAAGAAUGAUAGUAGAUCUUUAAUCAAUACCUUAACUUUGAGCGCUUGUAUCUCCUUCAUAUAAACUCCAAACCAUACAAAACUUACACCAAAACCAUAGCCAAAAACCUAAACCUUCUGACUCUAGCCUUCAAAACUUGAAUGGCAUCGAGAAACUAACUCUAAUCUCUAAUAUGGCCUCGGAUAGCCUCCUCAAAGCCCAUUGGUCAUGAUUUUUGAUCAAUAGGAAUGGAGAUUUUUAUUAUUCAUCUCCAUUCAUCUAUAUUGGUGUCUUAAUUACUCCUUUUACUACCAAAAUCCUUCUUCAAUCUUUUUUCUUAUAAGAUUUACAUAAUAUAUGCUCUAAACAUCAAAUAAAAGAACCAAAAGAAGUUUUCAAAGGUCACCAA
Molecule: long non-coding RNA, 590 nt
Filed under: Physcomitrium patens
Lineage: Eukaryota; Viridiplantae; Streptophyta; Bryopsida; Funariales; Funariaceae
Description: long non-coding RNA (PPAT_LNC008412)
Source: RNAcentral